GGAGAGUUGUCCGAGUGGCUUAAGGAGCAUGAUUGGAAAUCAUGUGUGCGGUGAACUCCGUACCCAGGGUUCAAAUCCCUGACUCUCCGCCA
Molecule: transfer RNA, 92 nt
Filed under: Megasphaera geminata
Lineage: Bacteria; Bacillati; Bacillota; Negativicutes; Veillonellales; Veillonellaceae
Also listed under: 5 other names
Description: tRNA-Ser
Rfam family: tRNA
About the family: Transfer RNA (tRNA) molecules are approximately 80 nucleotides in length. Their secondary structure includes four short double-helical elements and three loops (D, anti-codon, and T loops).
Source: RNAcentral